This 255-nucleotide long non-coding RNA is filed under the name Elaeis guineensis (African oil palm). RNAcentral describes it as "long non-coding RNA (EGUI_LNC050794)". The record is from RNAcentral. Lineage: Eukaryota; Viridiplantae; Streptophyta; Magnoliopsida; Arecales; Arecaceae.
GCUGGAUGUAGAACUUAAUGGGUCUCACACAUAUGAAAAUUGGCUAAGGACUCUUUUGAUAAGGUUGAUUGAAAUUUUAGAUCUAAUCAGGAUCUCCGGUAAGCAUGCUAACAUGUGUGGAAACCCUAGUUUCUUAGGAGAUCAAUUUGAUCUCAAAUCUUGCUAAUUUGCUAACCCAAUUUGGUGAGCAAUUGGGAUAAGUUGUGCCACCUAGAGGCAUCCCAAAAUGGGGCACCUCAUUUCAAGUUAAUGCCA